Molecule: ribosomal RNA, 398 nt
Filed under: uncultured bacterium
Lineage: Bacteria
Description: bacterial SSU rRNA
Rfam family: Bacterial small subunit ribosomal RNA
Source: RNAcentral
CAGGCCUAACACAUGCAAGUCGAACGGUAACAGGAAGCAGCUUGCUGCUUCGCUGACGAGUGGCGGACGGGUGAGUAAUGUCUGGGAAACUGCCCGAUGGAGGGGGAUAACUACUGGAAACGGUAGCUAAUACCGCAUAACGUCGCAAGACCAAAGAGGGGGACCUUCGGGCCUCUUGCCAUCGGAUGUGCCCAGAUGGGAUUAGCUUGUUGGUGAGGUAACGGCUCACCAAGGCGACGAUCCCUAGCUGGUCUGAGAGGAUGACCAGCCACACUGGAACUGAGACACGGUCCAGACUCCUACGGGAGGCAGCAGUGGGGGAAUAUUGCACAAUGGGCGCAAGCCUGAUGCAGCCAUGCCGCGUGUAUGAAGAAGGCCUUCGGGUUGUAAAGUACUUU